AAAUUGAAGAGUUUGAUCAUGGCUCAGAUUGAACGCUGGCGGCAGGCCUAACACAUGCAAGUCGAACGGUAACAGGAAUCAGCUUGCUGAUUCGCUGACGAGUGGCGGACGGGUGAGUAAUGUCUGGGAAACUGCCUGAUGGAGGGGGAUAACUACUGGAAACGGUAGCUAAUACCGCAUAAUGUCGCAAGACCAAAGAGGGGGACCUUCGGGCCUCUUGCCAUCGGAUGUGCCCAGAUGGGAUUAGCUAGUAGGUGGGGUAACGGCUCACCUAGGCGACGAUCCCUAGCUGGUCUGAGAGGAUGACCAGCCACACUGGAACUGAGACACGGUCCAGACUCCUACGGGAGGCAGCAGUGGGGAAUAUUGCACAAUGGGCGCAAGCCUGAUGCAGCCAUGCCGCGUGUAUGAAGAAGGCCUUCGGGUUGUAAAGUACUUUCAGCGGGGAGGAA
RNAcentral lists this ribosomal RNA (452 nucleotides) under Escherichia coli. RNAcentral's name for it is "bacterial SSU rRNA". It matches the Rfam family "Bacterial small subunit ribosomal RNA", at positions 1 to 449 of the family's 1533-position model. The record is from RNAcentral. Lineage: Bacteria; Pseudomonadati; Pseudomonadota; Gammaproteobacteria; Enterobacterales; Enterobacteriaceae.